GCUAAAUCAUGGGAUCACGUACAAUCACCGAAGUUAAGAAACAUCGGGCCUGGCCAGUACCUAGAUGGGUGACCACUUGGGAAUACCAGGUGCUGUAAG
Acanthosepion pharaonis is the source of this 99-nucleotide non-coding RNA. NCBI's taxonomy places the organism in Eukaryota, Metazoa, Mollusca, Cephalopoda, Sepiida, Sepiidae. The record is from the annotation of a GenBank genome assembly.